CCUCGCUCCCGGGACUCGCCAGCGAGGGAUGCCGCCGGCCGCCGGGGGCCUUCUCCAGGACCAGGAGAGAAAUCCUCUCUCCGCUUCACGACGCGGCCACUCCCACCCCUGAGACGCCCACCUGGCGGACUCUGAGGGAGGAUUCGGCUGCGUCUAAUACCACCUCCACCCCUCAUCCCUCACAAUGCGCGGAAAACCACAGGCGGCUGUGCGCGCAGCGUCGGCUCAGCCACCGCAGCUCCUCCCCUGGGAUGAAAAAGCACUCUGACGUCUUGAAAGCUGGCAGCUCUCUGUUUGGAAAAUCUCUGCCCAGUGAAAAAAUGUACCGACAAGAUUACUAAGUAACACAGUCUUCUGGGAAUGCCUUAUCAAUGCCAGCUAUUUGAAGAGCACCCAAAGUCAAACUAGUGCUCCGCGCUGGCAGUCUGGAAAAGGCAGAUGUAUAAACCAAAAAGGAUGGAGUUCAGAGACCUUCCAUGUUGAUGAACAAGAACACAUUCACCUGCUGUAGGGGUAGGUGUACCCCAAAACUCCACUGAUACAGAAGCUUCUAUACUCAAGACCCUUCUAUACUCAAGACCCUGGAUCUUACCCUAUAUAUCUCUUCAUCUGGCUAUUUAUUUGCAUCUUUUAAUAUAUCCUUUGUAAUAAACUAGUAAUCUAGAAAGCAAACUUUUCCUAGCUCUGUAGGCCAUUCUAGUAAAUGAUUAAACCUGAGGAGGAGUUAUGGGAACCUUUGAUUUGUAGACAAGUUGGACAAAAGUGGUAUAUAUCCUAAUAUAACAUGGGAACCUGCCACUUAUGAUUGGCGUGUGAAAUUGGGGGAUGGGGAAGCAGUCUUGUGGGACUGAGCCCUUAGCCUGUGGGGUCUAAUGCUAUCUUCAGGUAAUAUCAGAACUGAGUUAAAUUAUAGGAUACCAGUCAGUGUCCAUUGGAGAACUGAAUUAUUGUGAGGAGAAACCCACACAUUUGGUGGCUAAAAGUAUUGAUGUGAGUAGUAGCAUAUAGGA
RNAcentral lists this long non-coding RNA (1010 nucleotides) under Homo sapiens (human). RNAcentral describes it as "non-protein coding LRRC8C-DT:46". Lineage: Eukaryota; Metazoa; Chordata; Mammalia; Primates; Hominidae. The record is from RNAcentral.